GAUUGUUCAUUCAACUUUGCCAAAUUCUGUCGACCCACUUUUUCUGAUCAUGUUUCCUCUGUACCCAUUUCAAUGAAUCAUGAAAAAACCUUACAAACAAAAACCAUUGUAGAUGAUUUUCAACAUCUUGAUGUUAAUGAUGAUGUUAAGAAUGAUGUUGAAAAUGAUGUUGGUGUUGGUGUUUUUGAUGAUGUUGAGGAUGAUUUGUGGUUGAAGAUUCAAGAAGAAGCAAGGUUAGAUUUAGAUAAAGAACUAAUUUUAUCUAGCUAUUAUUUCAGCUCAAUUUUAUGUCACAAAUCAUUAGAAAGUGCUUUAUGUAAUCAACUUUCAAUUCAUUU
Molecule: long non-coding RNA, 338 nt
Filed under: Trifolium pratense (red clover)
Lineage: Eukaryota; Viridiplantae; Streptophyta; Magnoliopsida; Fabales; Fabaceae
Description: long non-coding RNA (TPRA_LNC004176)
Source: RNAcentral